GGCUCGAGGACGAACGCUGGCGGCGUGCCUAACACAUGCAAGUCGAGCGGAGUCAGUAAGAGGAAGUUUCGGAUGGAAUCUUGUUGAUUUAGCGGCGGACGGGUGAGUAACGCGUGAGCGACCAACCUUGCACAGGGGGAUAACGGACCGAAAGGUUCACUAAUACCGCAUGAGACCACGGUGUUGCAUGACACAGAGGUCAAAGGAGCAAUCCGGUGCAAGACGGGCUCGCGUCCGAUUAGGUAGUUGGAGGGGUAACGGCCCACCAAGCCUAUGAUCGGUAGCCGACCUGAGAGGGUGAUCGGCCACAUUGGAACUGAGAUACGGUCCAAACUCCUACGGGAGGCAGCAGUGGGGAAUAUUGGGCAAUGGGGGAAAAACCCCCUGACCCAGCAACGCCGCGUGAAGGAAGAAGGUUUUCGGAUUGUAAACUUCUGUCCUUGGUGAAGAGAAGAAGACGGUAGCCAAGGAGGAAGCCCCGGCUAACUACGUGCCAGCAGCCGC
RNAcentral lists this ribosomal RNA (504 nucleotides) under uncultured bacterium. RNAcentral's name for it is "bacterial SSU rRNA". It matches the Rfam family "Bacterial small subunit ribosomal RNA", at positions 26 to 518 of the family's 1533-position model. The record is from RNAcentral.